This 431-nucleotide ribosomal RNA is filed under the name uncultured bacterium. Its description in RNAcentral is "bacterial SSU rRNA". It matches the Rfam family "Bacterial small subunit ribosomal RNA", at positions 62 to 510 of the family's 1533-position model. The record is from RNAcentral.
UCGAACGGAGAAAGAGAGGUUCGCCUUUCUUUCUUAGUGGCGCACGGGUGAGUAAUGUAUAGCUAACCUGCCCCUUGGUGGGGGACAACAGUUGGAAACGACUGCUAAUACCCCAUACUCCUUCUUACUCUAAGGUAAGUCGGGAAAACUCCGGUGCCAAGGGAUGGGGCUGUAUCCUAUCAGCUUGUUGGUGAGGUAAUGGCUCACCAAGGCAAUGACGGGUAGCUGGUCUGAGAGGAUGAUCAGCCACACUGGAACUGAGACACGGUCCAGACUCCUACGGGAGGCAGCAGUGGGGAAUAUUGCACAAUGGGGGAAACCCUGAUGCAGCAACGCCGCGUGGAGGAUGACGCAUUUCGGUGUGUAAACUCCUUUUAUAAGGGAAGAUAAUGACGGUACCUUAUGAAUAAGCACCGGCUAACUCCGUGCCA